RNAcentral lists this transfer RNA (77 nucleotides) under Candidatus Doudnaibacteriota bacterium. RNAcentral describes it as "Candidatus Doudnabacteria bacterium tRNA-Arg". It matches the Rfam family "tRNA". Rfam says of the family: Transfer RNA (tRNA) molecules are approximately 80 nucleotides in length. Their secondary structure includes four short double-helical elements and three loops (D, anti-codon, and T loops). The record is from RNAcentral. Lineage: Bacteria; Candidatus Doudnaibacteriota.
GCAUCCGUAGCUCAGUGGAUCAGAGCGUUCCCCUCCGAAGGGAAAGGCCGCUGGUUCGAUUCCAGCCGGGUGCACCA